Molecule: unclassified non-coding RNA, 1394 nt
Filed under: Orussus abietinus
Lineage: Eukaryota; Metazoa; Arthropoda; Insecta; Hymenoptera; Orussidae
Description: uncharacterized LOC111673997, transcript variant X4
Source: RNAcentral
UGUCGGCCAUUAAGUGUCACGAAAUCGUUCAUCUAAAUUUUCGAGUUAUUUUCGACAAAUCAAUUUAAAUCAGAAAGAAUCUGUUCACGUCCGCAGUUUAAAGUUAUAGUACUUUCCUGACGGUCGCGGAUUUCCGGAAAGUCGUCGAAAAGUUGACACCUCAAUUUUGGCUCCGUAAAAGAAGAAUCAGCGAGGACCCUCGUCUCGAAAGAUGCCCGUCAUAGGAUGCACUCCGGAGGACAAUUGCAAAAAGGACGCGUACUUGGCGAGACGAGCUCGUUUACGUGCCAAAGCGAAUGAGGGACCGGAUGCCAAGGAGCUCGUGAAACCAGCCGAAGUCGAACAAUCGGAAUCGGCCGCGAUCGAGAUUUCGCCAAGUCCAGGAUCCAGAGGAGGGAAAUCCUCGGAGAGCUCUCAGCAGGAAGAUCGGAACGCCGGCGAGGAUCCCGUAGAUGAUCGAUCGAUCGGGAACCGAGAGAUCGAGGACACGGUUAGUGAAGCACCCCAAGAGUCGCCGAUUCAGCAGGAGACUCCAGAGGACCAACAAUCGGGACAAUUGGGGGACCCGACUGCGCAGGAUCCCGAGAUCGAGAUCGAAGAUGCCGAUCGAUCGGCCGAUAAUCCGGUGGAAGUCGCUGCCUCGGACUAGCUUCGAUUUCUCGAUAAAGCGCUUUGUCGAGACACCGGCAAUAGCGUGCUAUUAGCCUUUGAUUCGGGAAGUCUGUUCCCAGGACGCGAAGAAGGAGCCUCUUUCCUCCCUGCUCCUCCUUUCUUCUCACGCAAUUAUCCCCGCAAUAAGAUGAAACGAGACGGGACGGAAUCAGCCCGGGGAGUUCCAUCGAAGAAUUAGUAUUCAGGGGAUACUAAUUGUCCCCGGAUCUCCCUCUUUCGGCGCAUUGUCCUGGACUUCCGGAGGUCCUGGCUGCAUGGCUUCCACGGGGAAUGCCGAGGACACGGACCGGGGGGAAGAAUUGUCAGCUCGUUCCGGGGGAAGUCGAAACUCAUCCAACACUUUGAUAGGAGAAGAUGGCGAGGAGGAUGCCGAGUACAGUGAGAGUAAGGAUUGCGACGAUAUUCCUGGGAUGAAAGAAAUAUAGUGGAUCGUGAAAUUACUUUUAAUUCGUUUCGUCAGAGUACGAGGAAGCGGUGUUCACGGCCACUGCAUUUGCAGUGGUAAUUGCAGUGUACUGUUGCAUCGUUUACUCCCUGAGUAGUCCACCCUCGCAUCUGUCGUCACUAUCUUACCACUAAGAAGCACCUGGACCGAAGUAAACCAUGGAGAGGAAGUAAUCUACAGUCAUUAUUUAAAGGAACUUUAAUAUAUUUCGAGUAGGUGUAAAAUAAAGCAAACUCGAAAUAAUCAAUAUCCCGCCAGACAAUUUAUCCGAAUAAAG